GCCAGGCACCCUGGUCCCAGCUACUCAGGAGGCUAAGGAGGGAGGAUAGUCUGAGCUGAUGAGUUCUGGGUUAUAGUGUGCUAUGCUGAUUGGAAGUCCACACUAAAUUCUGCAUCAAUAUGGUAACCUCCUGGGAGCCAGGGACCACCAGAUUGGCUAAGAAGGAGUGAACUCACCCUAGUUGGAAAUAGAGCAGGUCAAAACUCCCAGGUGGGUCAAAAUAAUGAUUAUGUACACAUAUUAUUAUCCCCU
RNAcentral lists this signal recognition particle RNA (252 nucleotides) under Aotus nancymaae (Ma's night monkey). Its description in RNAcentral is "Metazoan signal recognition particle RNA (ENSANAG00000007034.1)". It matches the Rfam family "Metazoan signal recognition particle RNA", at positions 1 to 260 of the family's 299-position model. From Rfam's summary of the family: The signal recognition particle (SRP) is a universally conserved ribonucleoprotein. Lineage: Eukaryota; Metazoa; Chordata; Mammalia; Primates; Aotidae. The record is from RNAcentral.